UACAGAGGUCCCAAGCGUUGUUCGGAAUUACUGGGCGUAAAGGGCUCGUAGGCGGCCAACUAAGUCAGACGUGAAAUCCCUCGGCUUAACCGGGGAACUGCGUCUGAUACUGGAUGGCUUGAGGUUGGGAGAGGGAUGCGGAAUUCCAGGUGUAGCGGUGAAAUGCGUAGAUAUCUGGAGGAACACCGGUGGCGAAGGCGGCAUCCUGGUCCAGCACCGACGUUCAGGCACGAAAGCGUGGGGAGCAAACAGG
This 253-nucleotide ribosomal RNA is filed under the name uncultured bacterium. Its description in RNAcentral is "partial 16S ribosomal RNA". It matches the Rfam family "Bacterial small subunit ribosomal RNA", at positions 524 to 776 of the family's 1533-position model. The record is from RNAcentral.